Molecule: long non-coding RNA, 397 nt
Filed under: Homo sapiens (human)
Lineage: Eukaryota; Metazoa; Chordata; Mammalia; Primates; Hominidae
Description: non-protein coding lnc-PRPF18-1:2
Source: RNAcentral
GGAGCAGGUGGAGUGGUGGCGCUGGAUAGCGGUGUACACUUAAAGCGUUCUGGGAAUAUGAAUCCCUUCUGCACCCUGGAAUCACCAGUCCAGCCAUGCAUGGAGCUGGGGAAAGCAGGCCCUGAAUUGUCUAGAGAGACUUGGUGGAGGAGGCCACGGCCCGCCUUGUCCCUGCCGGGUCCCGGCCAGGUGUGUGUGUGCCCCAGCUCGACUCUCGGUGGUCUCCAGGCUGCAGCAGAAGGAAUACCUUGGAACAACUGGAUGUUGUAAAUGUUUCUCAUCUGGCCUUAAAAUCCAUGAAAGCUGGAAAAUCACAAGGCAUCUGUGCAUAUACUGGUGGAUUUUAAUGAGAGUCCUGUGUUUGGAGCACCAGAAAUAAACCAGCUUCAGAAGCAAA